CGCCAAGCCGUUUCCAUGCACCGCGGUAAUACCGGAAGUGCAGACGUGGGUGUGAUGUUCUGUGCGGAGAGCGCGGGCGGGUGAAUCUGCACGUCCUCAGUGAAAGCCAAGGGGGCAACCCAGGAAGGGAGCUGGAAACGAUGGAUCUCGAGUGCUGGAGAGGUAGGCGGAAGUCCCGGUGUAGAGGGGAAAGUCGUAGAUAUCUGGAGGAGCACCGGUGGCGAAGGCGGCCUACUGGACAGCGCCUGACACUGAGACGCGAAAGCGUGGGUAGCAAACAGGAUUAGAUACCCCGGUAGUC
RNAcentral lists this ribosomal RNA (301 nucleotides) under uncultured Asaccharobacter sp. Its description in RNAcentral is "bacterial SSU rRNA". It matches the Rfam family "Bacterial small subunit ribosomal RNA", at positions 495 to 795 of the family's 1533-position model. The record is from RNAcentral. Lineage: Bacteria; Bacillati; Actinomycetota; Coriobacteriia; Eggerthellales; Eggerthellaceae.